GACGAACGCUGGCGGCGUGCCUAAUACAUGCAAGUCGAACGAACCGCGACUGAGUGCUUGCACUUGGUCAAGGUGAGUGGCGAACGGGUGAGUAACACGUGGGUAACCUACCUCAUAGUGGGGGAUAACAGUCGGAAACGACUGCUAAUACCGCAUAGGACAUGGAAUCACAUGAUUCCGUGAGGAAAGGUGGCGCAAGCUAUCGCUAAGAGAUGGACCCGCGGUGCAUUAGCUAGUUGGUAGGGUAACGGCCUACCAAGGCGAUGAUGCAUAGCCGACCUGAGAGGGUGAUCGGCCACAUUGGGACUGAGACACGGCCCAAACUCCUACGGGAGGCAGCAGUAGGGAAUCUUCCGCAAUGGACGCAAGUCUGACGGAGCAACGCCGCGUGAGUGAAGAAGGUCUUCGGAUCGUAUAGCUCUGUUGUUAGAGAAGAACAGCGCAUAGAGUAACUGUUAUGCGUGUGAC
RNAcentral lists this ribosomal RNA (468 nucleotides) under Abiotrophia defectiva. Its description in RNAcentral is "bacterial SSU rRNA". It matches the Rfam family "Bacterial small subunit ribosomal RNA", at positions 28 to 473 of the family's 1533-position model. The record is from RNAcentral. Lineage: Bacteria; Bacillati; Bacillota; Bacilli; Lactobacillales; Aerococcaceae.